AUUGUCGGAUCGUUGGACAUGCCAAAUUGGAUAAGAUAACUCAACCUUUAAAUGCUUUCACGAGAUCAGGAGAGAUGGUUACAUCAAAUCUUAUCUUAUUCGGGAUAGACAGCUGUCGCACAUGUUAAAGAGAUAAGUCGGUUGAACAGCUCAAAUACAGGUUAGACCUUGGAGAUGCCUCAGCUCAGCAUGAAGAUGGACUUCUCUGCUCAUACGAUGGUCAGCAAUCGUAUUAAUGAUCUGAGAGCUUGACAUGUAUUAUGAUAUAGCGC
RNAcentral lists this long non-coding RNA (272 nucleotides) under Elaeis guineensis (African oil palm). RNAcentral describes it as "long non-coding RNA (EGUI_LNC040758)". Lineage: Eukaryota; Viridiplantae; Streptophyta; Magnoliopsida; Arecales; Arecaceae. The record is from RNAcentral.